RNAcentral lists this ribosomal RNA (253 nucleotides) under uncultured bacterium. RNAcentral describes it as "partial 16S ribosomal RNA". It matches the Rfam family "Bacterial small subunit ribosomal RNA", at positions 524 to 776 of the family's 1533-position model. The record is from RNAcentral.
UACGUAGGGUGCGAGCGUUGUCCGGAAUUAUUGGGCGUAAAGAGCUCGUAGGCGGUUUGUCGCGUCGACUGUGAAAACCUACAGCUUAACUGUGGGCUUGCAGUCGAUACGGGCAGACUUGAGUUCGGUAGGGGAGACUGGAAUUCCUGGUGUAGCGGUGAAAUGCGCAGAUAUCAGGAGGAACACCGGUGGCGAAGGCGGGUCUCUGGGACGAUACUGACGCUGAGGAGCGAAAGCGUGGGGAGCGAACAGG